This 168-nucleotide microRNA precursor is filed under the name Pelobates cultripes (western spadefoot toad). Lineage: Eukaryota; Metazoa; Chordata; Amphibia; Anura; Pelobatidae. The record is from RNAcentral.
GCAGACACAUUCCAGCCAAUCAGCAGCAGACCCUCCCUCCCAGACCCUCCCACCUCCUGGACAGCAUCCAUUUUACAUUCAUUGUGAAGCUGCAUUCUUAAUGAGCUGUCCAGGAGGUGGGAGGGUCUGGGAGGGAGGGUCUGCUGCUGAUUGGCUGGAAUGUGUCUG